This 232-nucleotide ribosomal RNA is filed under the name uncultured bacterium. RNAcentral describes it as "partial 16S ribosomal RNA". It matches the Rfam family "Bacterial small subunit ribosomal RNA", at positions 545 to 776 of the family's 1533-position model. The record is from RNAcentral.
UCGGAAUCACUGGGCGUAAAGGGCGUGUAGGCGGGAAGGUAAGUCAGAUGUGAAAUCCCCAGGCUCAACCUGGGAACUGCAUUUGAAACUCCCUUUCUUGAGUACCGGAGAGGAAAGUGGAAUUCCUGGUGUAGAGGUGAAAUUCGUAGAUAUCAGGAGGAACACCAGUGGCGAAGGCGGCUUUCUGGACGGUAACUGACGCUGAGACGCGAAAGCGUGGGGAGCAAACAGG